CCUACGGGGGGCUGCAGUGGGGAAUAUUGGGCAAUGGGCGCAAGCCUGACCCAGCAACGCCGCGUGAAGGAAGAAGGCUUUCGGGUUGUAAACUUCUUUUAUCAGGGACGAAGCAAGUGACGGUACCUGAGGAAUAAGCCACGGCUAACUACGUGCCAGCAGCCGCGGUAAUACGUAGGUGGCAAGCGUUAUCCGGAUUUACUGGGUGUAAAGGGCGUGUAGGGGGGGAAGCAAGUCAGAUGUGAGAGACACGGGCUCAACCUGCGGCCUGCAUUUGAAACUGUGUGUCUUGAGUACUGGAGAGGCAGACGGAAUUCCUAGUGUAGCGGUGAAAUGCGUAGAUAUUAGGAGGAACACCAGUGGCGAAGGCGGUCUGCUGGACAGCAACUGACGCUGAGGCGCGAAAGCGUGGGGAGCAAACAGGAUUAGAUACCCGUGUAGUC
RNAcentral lists this ribosomal RNA (443 nucleotides) under uncultured bacterium. RNAcentral describes it as "partial 16S ribosomal RNA". It matches the Rfam family "Bacterial small subunit ribosomal RNA", at positions 338 to 795 of the family's 1533-position model. The record is from RNAcentral.